Sarcophilus harrisii (Tasmanian devil) is the source of this 367-nucleotide long non-coding RNA. RefSeq lists it as uncharacterized. NCBI's taxonomy places the organism in Eukaryota, Metazoa, Chordata, Mammalia, Dasyuromorphia, Dasyuridae. The record is from RefSeq and is a predicted model, not a curated record. The transcript is spliced from 2 exons.
UAUAUAUAGACCCUUUCCUUUUCUCUGACAUUGUUGGGUUAUAUGAACAGCAUGAUUAUCUCUGGACCAUGGGGCAGUGUUCCUUGCUGGGUAUUGAAUAGUAUCUCUUAGAUGAAAAGGCUCGAGACAUAAGAAAUCAACUUACCUGAGGCCACUUGCAACAGGUUUCCCAGUCUGCAACUCACUGCCUGAACAUGAGGGAGGCAUGUCAAGAUUCUGAACUCUGAGGAUGUGGCUGGCACCCAAGCAUACCACUGACAGUCAACAACUGACUAAAAAACCGGUCCCUUUCAAUUCUUUCUCAAUUAGAGAAUACAAUAGGGAAAGAGCAUAAACUUCCAAAUCUAAUCAAAAUCACAAACAGACA